UGGGGAAUAUUGCACAAUGGGCGCAAGCCUGAUGCAGCCAUGCCGCGUGUGUGAAGAAGGCCUUCGGGUUGUAAAGCACUUUCAGCGAGGAGGAAGGGUUCAGUGUUAAUAGCACUGUUCAUUGACGUUACUCGCAGAAGAAGCACCGGCUAACUCCGUGCCAGCAGCCGCGGUAAUACGGAGGGUGCAAGCGUUAAUCGGAAUUACUGGGCGUAAAGCCGCACGCAGGCGGUUUGUUAAGUCAGAUGUGAAAUCCCCGCGCUUAACGUGGGAACUGCAUUUGAAACUGGC
This 291-nucleotide ribosomal RNA is filed under the name uncultured bacterium. RNAcentral describes it as "partial 16S ribosomal RNA". It matches the Rfam family "Bacterial small subunit ribosomal RNA", at positions 355 to 637 of the family's 1533-position model. The record is from RNAcentral.